GUGCAUAUUAAUGCAGGCAUCAAGUUAUUUUAUUGCAAAUGUCUCAGUUGCAAACAUCCUUGGCAUUGCCUGUAAAACCACUGACUGUGUGUGUAUAGGAACCAGAAAGGUCCACCUACACAUAUUAAACUGAUGUGCAUCUUAGAAUCUUGCACACAUUAAUGCUUUGAUUGUUGAAUAGUUCUAAUGUGUAGACAUAUAAAGUGCAACAGUAUAUCAUAUUAAAGAAUGUCCCUGUGCAUACAUGGUGAAAUAGAGUAGUUUAUAUGCAGUAGACUGUGGGAUUGUAGAAAACCUCAGCAUUACCGCCAUUAUUUUCUGUCACUGUUUGUUUAAGAGAAAUGCACAAUUCUCCUUUGUUUUCAAUGUAAACUUUUAUUAGUAUUCAUAACAGGACAAAUUAGUUCAAUGCCACGAUUUGUCUAAUAAUAAUCAUAUUAGUCUUUACAGACAAGUUGCCUACAUCUUAAAAACAUCAAGAAUCUCACACCAGGAAAUAUAACAUUUAGAAACACACUCAUCAUUGUGAUUCACAAUAAAUUGCAUAGUAAAUGAUUUUUAAUCAUAGUACUAACAUUCCUCUUACAUUUCUAUGUUAAUAAUAAUAAUAAUAAUAAUAAUAAUAAUAAUUAAUAAAAUAAAUACUUGCUUGAUGAUUUAAGGGCAUCACUGUCCAUGAUAACAAAAGUGGGUCUCAAAAUAAAUUGCACAAUUUUCAUUAAUAUGAUCAAAUAUUAAUAUAUUUGCAUAGACCAUUGAAAAUAUAUGUUUGCCUCUGCCCAAAUUUAAUUAUAAGAUCAAGUACUGUAAAUAAUACUUAAACAAAAUAGCUGAUCAGGAAUGAGGAUUAUUAAAAAUACUACUACUACUACUAAUAAUAAUAAUAAUAAUAAUAAUAAUAAUAAUAAUAUUAGUAGUAGUAUUUUACAUUAUUAUUAGUAGAAGGAUUUUACUUGAUUAGUACUGUAAGUGGCAUUAUUACUUCUAAUGACUGCAGGUUCAAUCAGACAACAUAGACAAAAUAAAAUAACAUAACACAGACCAUGUAAAGUAUGGUGUAGUGAUUCUUCUCCUUAAUAGUACACCAGCAUUGUUUAUAACAUAUUUAAAAUAUUGUUUGAAUAAAAAUUUGAAUAAAGGAGGUUCCAUCUGCUCAGGACAGGUCCUGCACUGAUCAUUAAUGAUAGUUAAUAGUUAAUGAUCAUUAAUGAUUAAUGAUUAAUGAUAGCAUGACCAACUCAAUUGCAUAGAGAAUAAAGACAACAGCUCUCUCUAUACCAGGUGUGUAAAUAACACACAGAGCUGUUCAAUCGCAGUGCAGUAACCCUUAACUGCUGCCAUGGGUCUCACAUUCAUGAUCUCUACACCAUUAGUUCAGCAGUCUACAGUUUUCAGAAUCUAACAUUUAGCUACUCAUUUUGAAUAUAGCAUUACAAUCAAGUCUAACAGUGUCAUUUUUAUCAUAGCAGAUGCUCUCAAGCACGUGACACUAAAUACAAGACAUGAGAAAGGGAUGACGGAAAGGUUACACGAAUGUUUGAAGUGCUCUAUGCUAAAGAUUGAGUUUGUGCUAUAUUAAAGCUUUACACUUUAAUUAAUUAGCACUAUAAAUUUAUCUAUUGGUUGGCCUCUGUAAAUAAUAAUAAAUAAAUAAAUAACAUAGCAUUUCAUAUUGUAGCAAACUAAUCUAAGAUGAUAUGUUUGAAUCAAUUGCAAUUACUUGUCCAGAUAGAGGAUGCAGAGCUAAUGUUAGAAUGUCAGAUUAUAAUAGAUUCUAAAUUAUAAUAUAUGAUUACCUUAACAAAAAUGUAAAAGCAGAAAAAAGUAAACAAUUUAAACAUUUUUUAAAAAUGUGCAAAAGAAAUAGAGGCAUUUAAAGUGCUUAAAUGUUAUAAUGUUGGGGCACACAAUGAAAUGGUGCAGACGUCUGGGUCAAGUACUUCAUCAGCAGGCAUUGAUUUGUUAUCCAUGAUCAGAUGUCAUUUAUAAAAAAUCCUCUUUUAUUCUUCCAUCACCUGAAAAAGAGAGGGGAAAAUUAUUAGAUGUGAUUUUGUGAAUACCUUGUCAUUGCCACAGUAAUGUAGCUUUACCCAUCGAUCAUCAUGAAAAAAAUGAAUUCCCUAGCACCAUUUAUACCACAUUUGCAUAUUUUUAAAAAAUACAUUUAGAUCAGUAUUUUAAUGAUUGAAUGCAACAUAAGGACUUGAAGCUCGGGAACAGGGAGCAAGUGCCAGGUGGAAAUUGAGGAUAAAGUUGAAGGCGUCUCAGUGCUUGGUACGCUCUAAGGCUAAAGCAAAGACGAAACAUGUGAUAGACCCUAAGUCCGCAGUGCUGAGAUGGAGUAAGCCCAGCCUCUACUGCACAGCUCAGACAAGCAACUUAAAAUAUUAAGGUCAAGAGGAAAACAAGAAAGCAAGCAGACCACCAUCAUCAUUGCAAAUAUUACUAGGACCUCUACUUCUGGUUCAGUACACAUUGAUUAGAAACAGAAUUACACCAGGCUAGUGUCUGAUUGGUUCUGACUGACAUCAACUUCUUUAUUUUUAGAAGACUGUCAAAUUGCAAUCAAAGACCAAAGAAAGCAAUCUGAGUUGUGUUAAAAUAGAAGUAGACGCAGGGUAACAGGAAAUGUAGGUGACUCUGACACCCUGAAACUACACUAUCAAGGUGCUAAUGAUGUGUUUACACCUUUUUACACUUAUCUAUGGUUAGCUUUGUGCUUUCUCUACAUAUAAUCAAAAGGAAACUCUUCUUAAAAUAUCACUGAAACUAGCAUCUGACUGAAGCUGCAGCAGUAAACGCAGGUGAUAGAAAACAGAAAAAAAAAGACUGUGGUGAAUUGGGGUGAGAGGAAGUACAGACGAGUGUUGAGAAUGAGGGUGAGGGUAUGCCACGGGCGACCGUAGGAAAUAGACGGCACACUGUUGUCAUUGUACACCGAGCUGAAUGAGGUGAAUUUACACCCGCAGCACGUGUCCUGUUAAAGCUGGGCAGCAGGACUGGAAGAGAGGAGGGGGCAGGGGGCUGUUAGUGCUGUAGAAAGACGGUCUGUUUAGAUUCUGGGUAUGUUGGUGGGCACAACCAUUUUGGAGCCAAAUGCGGCACACUGAAUCCUCACUUUUAUAUAUGCAACCCUUCUUUUCAGUUGCUCCAUCAUUCUUUCUUUCUUUUUUUACUUUCUUUCUUUCUUGAUUUCCCUCUCAUUGAAUGAAUAGCCAUUGCAGUGCUACUGUGUAACUGCUCCCCUCCCUCCCCACUCAGGCCUGAAUGGGGGGCUGAAUUGAGCAAACAGUCUGCCUGUCAGCUCAAUAGGCGGUCUGGCCAUGAACUUCAAGUCCUUCCCAGGCCCUCGGUAUUGCUGGUAGAAGGAGGGGGAGGUGAGACGGCGAGAAGGGGUGUACAGACACCCUCAGACUUGGGGGGCCCCGGGUGCCCAUUUUCUUUGCAGGCCUCGGUUGUUCCCAAGACUGGUGCCUGCGUGGAGAGCAGGAGACCAGCUGCUUGGUUGUCCCAAAAGGAGGGGUGGGUGUGUAUGUGCAGACAUGAGAGUGUCUGCCCCUUGCCCAUGCCCUACUUGCCUCCCAGCUAUACACACUCUCCCAGACACACGGUUUCGCUGCGCCCUUGCACCCCAUCAUCUCCUCGCUGCUGUUUGUAUUGUUUUAGCCCUGCAUAAUUUCCUCAGGCAUCUCUAAGCCAAACUCAUCCACCACAUUAACACCUAUUUACGGACACACAAUUACACAAUAAAACUCGGCUUCGUAGAGACCAAGCCUUUAUGUUUUAUAGACAUGGAAUCAGAAAUCACUUAAAUGAUUUUACACAUAACAGAACUUGACCUAGAAACAGUUCACAGAAUAGAAGCUAAUCUUGUGUACAAAAUACCAAAUAGAAUUUAAUCUGCUAAAUGUAUAGACACUGUGUAGACAGACAGCCAGAGCAGCAGGUAAAGAUCUCCAAGUUCAAAUAUUUUACACAACCCCAGUACUGUCUUGCUGUAAUAUUGUUUUGCUAUAUGUCUGGUAUACCCUCAUUAGACCUCACACUUACUGCACCUCCUAUACUAUGAUCUGCGCUUGGAGUGUGACACCCCAUCAGCUGGGCCAUGGCAUGUCUGUCCCCAAACAAAGGCAGCUCUCUGAGCAAAUUUGGGACAAUGGGAAGCAUUGUUUUUCUGCUCUCAUUUUGUUAAUCGGACUCGGCUGACUGUAACUGGUGUUUUAGUUAAGCAGGUAUUAAAGUUAUAGCUCCCUGGUCCUGGUUUACAUAUAAUAUAAAUGUGCUCAUGUCUAAUAAAAAGUAUACAGUCGCUGUAAUAAUUUAAUCAACACUCUGAGAAUGUCAAAUUUGUCAUAUUUUUCCAUUAGUUUUGCACCUCUGUAUGCAGCGAUGCUCUUCAAUGUAGUGCCUGAAGAUGUGAGAUAAAAGUCUCGCUAGCUUUCUUCAAAAUGGCAGCUCGCAAUCUCAGUGCCUGGCAAGGUGGCGAGGAGGGCAGCAAAAUCCCUGAUGGCAGUCUAUUCAAUUCUUGUGCCCACAGAUGCCCGCAUUGACUCCCCCAUUGUGGCAGCAAAUGAUUUAAUACAAGUGAGUACAAAACAAGUCUCCACCCACUUUCGUGCCAGCGACAUGUGAUUUUCACAAUUAAAAAACACAUCUGCUGUAAUUAAAAAAAGUCUCUGUGCUGAAAGAAGAGGGAAUAUACGCUAUGCAUGUGUGUAUGUGUGUGUGUGUGGGUGUGUGUGUGUGUGAGGAUAUGAAAUGGAGGAGAACGAUGGUGGGUCUACCUGCUCAUUCUUCCUCCCUCUUCCAUUUCAUGCCAGCGCUUUCUAAGAUGGUGGUGAAGCAUGGAUUGCCGCUCAUCACAAGAGGAAGGGGCAGGCAGGCAGUGAGAGGAGGGGCUGAGAGCAGCAAUGCAUAGUGGGGCACAGAGAGUCUCAACACCAACCCUCCCCUCCUCCAUAACAUCCUCCAUGUUUUCCUUCCCUUUCGCUGGCAUCUUUUCGACACAGAGACUGGACGUCUGUACGAAAGAGCAAAAAUGGAGAAAGUAAAUGAAAACAUAAACAUGAGUUUGCAGGGCUGGGGAAGUGUUAAAGGGUACACCCAAUCAGACAUGUGCACACACACACACUCUCACACACAUACACACACACACACACACAAACACCUUUUAAUGUCUGUUCACAUGGUAUAGUCUGCCCCGGAGCAUGCAAAUGACUUUCAUUAUGCAAAUGCAUGCAAAUGAGACUCAACCAUCUGAGAAUCAAGGCUGGGAAAAAUCUACACAGAGAGAUUGAAUGAAAAAGAAAGAGAGCAAGGCAUAAAUCCUUUUGCAUGGCAGCAGAAUGCUAACGGAGGGAAAUGUGGAGGGAAGCACCAACAGUGGCCCAGGGUGAACAAAAAAACUAUUUUUGCUGUCUAUACGAGAUCAUACAAUCACUCUCUUUCUCUCUACUUUCUUCCUUAUGAAUGCAUUAUGAGUUUUAAAUGAAUACACAUAAGUACAUAUCUAGGACUGUAAAAAUGGAUGUUUUUGACAUGGUUUAAAUUACAUACCACUGCAGCAGCCACGUUUUUGUCAAAUGACCUUGUUGUCAUUCAAAAAUCCAACAAAUAAGCAGUGGUUGUGAAAUGCAGCUCAAACCAGGAAUGUUCUGUAUCACUUAGAAUGCUCCAAGUUUUUGGAACCCAAAACCCUCACUUGACUUAUAUCAAAUAGAUCAGUUCUCAAGCCUGAUAGAAGCUUGCUUAUGGUUUCACCCUUUGCCAUAUGAACUUAGGGACUCUGCAGCAGCAGGCAACUUAUUGGGACUGCUUAUGGGGUGACUGUGGCUUAGGUGGUAGAGCGGGUUGUCCACUAAUCAUAGGGUUGGCGGUUUGAUUCCUGGCACACACCUUGGGCAAGACACUGAACCCCAAGUUGCUCCCUAUGGCAGACUAGCACCCUGCAAUGGUAUGUGUGUGUGUGUGUGUGUGUGUGAGUGAAUGGGUGAAUGAGAAACAGUGUAAAGCACUUUAUAGAACUGCUAAGGUUAAAAAGCGCUAUAUAAGUACACACCAUUUUACCAUUUAUUCCUCCAGAAGUGCCACAUUGGGAGAUGGACCUUGUUUUAAGGUGACACUGGUUGGAGGUCCAGGGGAGACUGAGUUUGAGGGGGAAAGAGUGUGAGAGAGUUGGAUGGGAUAAAGUUAGAAGUAGAAUUAGUGGGGUGUAGUCUUGCUGAAUGGCAGCAAACCUUCUCUAAUUGGCACUUGACAUUUUUUGCAGAAGCCCUCUAAAGUGGGCCUACUCUUAAGCCCUCUCCAGGCCCUUGUUAGAAAAAUGCCUUAUGCAAAUAGAGUGAAUAGAGACCAUUGUAAAGCCUCUGACAUUAACAGCUGGGGUAACAAUUGUUUGCUUUCUACAAUUUGUAUGCUUUCAGUGAACCUGUAGGUGUGUUAGAGCAUGAGCCGGACAAUUGGCCAAUAUGUGAACAGCCAUACAACUUAUGCACAGGAAACUACUCAUUCUUUAUGAACCUUUGACAAAAUGGACCACGAAAUCACCUUCUCCAUUAUCCACCUAGUUAUUUGCUGCCACUGUCUGUUUUAUUUGUUUGGAUUAUAAUCUAGCAACGCAGUAGUGUGCACACUUAUCUAAUGAGUACAACUACUCAUGAUGCCAUAUUUAGGAUCAUUAAUGUAUUCUGACCAUUCCUAAUAAUAUCAGUCAUAAAGGUGAAAGUCUCCUUCAAAUAAGUUUCCUUUUGCUCUGAUAUCCUCACAGAUAUAAGGUCUGUAUAAAGAAUAGACUUUACGUGUGGCUUGUACAACGUUGACUUGCUAUACUACAUAUACCUAAUUUAAUCUCUGUUCUAUGAGUACACCAGUUGACUUUGCCAACUGUCUAAUGUAUAUUCACAUCUCAACAGGGGUGACAGUAGAGUAGAGGCUGGAGGAACGAAAGAGACAAGCAUUUAGUCCUUAAUUUCCUGUCCCACAGUGCAGCUUUUUUGAGUCUCAGUUGGUGUGUUCGAUAGAAAGAAGGGCAACGACAGGGGUUGGCUAGCUUUGCUCUAACUACAACUCAGCAGUUCUGACUGGACGGUAUUGAAAGGGUAGUAAAAGAACCCAUUGAGUCUGUUUGACAAGUGAGCUAGCUCUAUAGACAGUACAGUUGACUGCAGAGGGGAGUAGAGGGGAAGGAAGAAGAGGGGAGGGAUACAAUUACUGUUUAUAGAGCUUAAGUUGCCUUGAUAAAGGCUUUUAAAACAUUUCCAGUUAUACUUAAAUCAGUAGGUUUACCACACCCCAGUUCUACCUACCUACCUGUUAAUGUUAGGUUAAGUAUAAAUGCAUGAUUAAAAUCCUGUGCUCUGUACUUGUGGCUUUUUGGUUCCACAUUAAAAAAAAAAACAUUCAUUAGAUGUUGGGGUUGCCCUGACAUGCUAGACACCAGGACAUAAAAUGCCAUGUUGACACCAUAUAGAAUAAUACGUUACUCUGGUGUUGUUCGGUUGUGCACAGGAAAAUAUGGUCUUCCUAUCAGAGUGCAUGUGGUGUUUAGAAAAGAGAAGUACAAUAAUGGAAUUGUUCAUUCUUUCAUUUGUUCCCUUACUAUCAAGGCUAACACAGUGUAUUAUGCAGCAGCUGCAUUGCAGCAGGCAGCCCUGACCGUGACCGAUCAGCUGAUGCCGCUGUUUAUUACAUGGCCAAGGGCAGAGACUGGCACACAUGAAUGCUUCAUAUAAACUGCAUAUCACUGAGCCCUUGGUUAUCCAAAUUAUAGCUUACCACAUAGUACACUUGUUACACAAGCUUACACAUUCUUUCUGAUUUAUCUCUUCGUCUUUUCACUACUUGCAAUUUUCAAGUCGAGCUGAACAGAAACAUUUGCCAACUAUGUACAUGUGAAACUAAAUGUGUCCUAAAUGUGACACUUUGAUGAACAAAAAUAGCCUUGACUUAACCAUCAAGGUUUUGUCACCAUAACAGUUUGCUUAAACAUGUCUUAUUACAAGCCCUCUAGAAAAAGGAGAUAUUUACAAGCCUUAAUCUAAAGAAGUAAUGCAUGCUGUCCAGACUCAGUGGUGUAACUCUGAUUGAGAUCAAGUGUAGAGGUGUGAUGCUCUGAUUAGGCAGAGAACUCCAGCUUGCUCUGGCUUCUAUGCUACCUCAAAUUGUGGGAUUGUCCUCCUAAUAGUUGCUGUCAGCAGUAUGGUUCUGGGUCAGUAGCUCUGACCACUGGUUCACAGUGAGGAACAGAAGUGUGUUUGAACCAUUCACUACUAUCCUAUCCAGCUCAUAUUCUAAUAUUGGGUCUAAUUCAGCCCAUUCAUAUGCAGAAACAAGCAUCAGCACCCAUCAGCCACUUUUGGGAGCCACAAAAAAAAAUCUACAUCAGUCAAGUGCUGACCCAUGGAUCAAAUGCUCUUAAAGCAUUGAAUCAGCUGCCAAAUUUGCUUUGGAGAGUUACAGUCUCAAAAUCAAUCAAAACAGUGAUCAAACGGCCAAGUAUUAAAAAUGCAACAGUCAGAGACAUAUUUCAGUUUCCUAAUGGACUUUGAUACAGAAAUAUUUUACUGGUGAACUAAUCCGUGUAGAACAUGGUGUACUGUGUUGAACGUUAUAAAGGCAUCUGUGAGACCCAGUGGCCAUGUGACUGCAACAUUAAGCCCCUGCCUGCAUUUGCUUGUGUUCUGAGAUCAGGAGAUUAAACGUGAUCAUGUUUGUCCAGGCCAUGUGAUUACAUUUACAUUUUACAUUUAGUAAUUUAGAAGACUCUCUUAUGCAGAGUGACAACGUGGAAUCAGUUGAAAGUGCAACAUUAAAAUGUAGAUUCUGAAAUAUAAGAAUAUGAAUCCUCCCAGUGCCAGAGUGGACUAGUCAGUAAAUAAAAUAAUCAUGCAAACUGAAUAUAUUCACUUCAUUCACUUCAAGAAUAUUAAUUCAAGAGUCUUUAAUAAUGUUGUCAACUCUUAGGUAAUCCAUCUCUAUUGUACUACUUUUAAGAAUACAAUCUACUACAGUGUACUGCGUCUCAAAUGAGGUAAACCAGAAAAUCUCAGUCUCAAGGGUCACAGUGUCAAAUCAUACACCAUGAUGAAAAGCACCUUACCGAUUCUGCUCUUUCUGGAUGCCUUUUCAUGUCCUGGGUCUUGUGAGAAGAGAAAGCAAGGGGUGGGAUGUGGAGUGUUGGAUGGGUGUGGCCUUUUAGGUGUGUAAUGGGAUUCUUGUUACUUUCGGUUAUCUAGCUUUAUGAAGAACGUACAUCACUCAUACAGCUAGAUAACCAAAGAUAACAGCCAACCCCUUCGGCCAACCAUCUCUUCCAGCCAUAGGGGGGAAUUAGAGAUUUGGAUUCACACCUAAAAAUAGAGACACCUUUUGAUUAUGUCUGAAAUUAGGACUCUGUGAAAUUAAUGUGCUUUAACAAAACAUUAAUUCAGUGUAAUUUAAUCAGCGUAUAACUGGUUAUAUUUGAAAAAUGGCAUAGGUUCAGUGGUAGAUAAUUAUGCAAUCAUUUACUAAUAAAUAGAGAGUAGUAGAGUAGGUUGUUUCCCCCCCAGUAUUUCUAAAUGCUUAAAAAUUUUAACAUGUUGUCUUGGCUAAUGUGGCAUAAUUUUUUAUAUACUCUCUUUCAAAUCCUCACAAACCUGACAAACUGUGUUAAUGGCAAGACCCAUAACAACACUAACUGCUCUUUCCUUCUCAAAUGCUUCUCUCCCUGGAAAAGGGAAAAUAUGUUCCCUAAAAAUGCUGAUUCUAAAUUUAAAGAAAUUUCUGAGCUCGCAAAAUGAUAAAGACCAACAGUGUUUGUUUUAAUUUCCCACAAAUUCAUCAUCAAGUCUAUAGUCCAUUUGUUUAUCUUAGGAAAAUCCCUGUCUCUUCCUCUGGAGACACACAUACACACACGCACACACACACACACACACACACACACACAGAGCAUAUUCAAAUGAAAGAGGAGUUGGUCGAAUUAAAAGCCUUUGUGCAAGAAGCCAUUCCCCAUUACUGCUCUGAGGUGUUAGAGAGAGAGAGAGAGAGAGAGAGAGAGAGAGAGAGAGAGAGAGAGAGAUCAUAAUCAUGCAGCACAGCUUUUUGUGCCAGCCAAAAUGGCAACAUUGGGUCAAGUUCAAACAUUUUCAUUUUGACUAUGCUCUGUCCAUUUCCCAUCACCUAAUUAUUUUGUUAAUGUCCCCAGAAUUCUGUUUACAGUACAAACUGUCUUGAUUCUAUCUGUUAAUGAUUAGCAUGGUCGCCUAUAUAACACUAAACAAGGAAUUAAGGAUCUAUGCAGCAAACAAUUUUCACAAACCAAAUAUGUUUGUGAAAAUAUGUUAAGGCAUAUGUGUUUACAAAAAACACUCAGACAACAAAUGCCAAUUCAGUCUCACAAUACAGCAAUAGGCACUAUUUAAGUAAUUCAGCAACUUGCAACAACAACAAUAAUAAUUUCAAUUAAUAAAUAAUAAUAAUAAUAAUAAUAAUAAUAAUAAUAAUAAUAAUAAUAAUAAUAAAAACUUACAGGAAAUAAAAUUUAGACUAUCACAUUUGUUAACACGUUGUUUAACUAUUUUACCAUAAUGCCCAUCUUUUCUUUGCUAUUAGAAUACCAAGCAAUAAUUAGUACAUAACCAAAUAUUUACUAAUAUUUGUUAUUAUUAUUAUUAUUACUUACUUACUUACUUACUUACUUACUAUGCACAAUGGCAAUUAGUGUUGUUUAAAAUCCAUCAUGAUGAAUACUAAAAAAUUCUGCUUUAUAAUAAAUAUAUAGUUUGUGUAUUUGCAUAGGCUAUACUACGAUUGGAAUGUAAACAGAAUUUCGAUUUUAUUCACUAUUAGUCAAUCGCUGAAUUUAAUCCCGUGGUCAACCUACUGUCAUUCAUAAUAUCCAUCACCCAGAAUAUUCUAUGAUUGGCUGAACUGUGGAUGAGGUAUUACGCAGCAUCACCGGUGUUAUAAUUGUGUAAUAAUAAAGUGUUAAUAAAAUAAAUACACAAACACAACACUGGUGUUUUAUUAAUGAACCUAUUUGCAAUUAAAUGAUCAUGGUAAGAGUAGAUUUUUAGGCUUCUGCUCGGUUUAUCUUUUUUUUUUUUACAUGACUUGCGUCACACUUUACUAUUUAACAGCGCUUAUAUGACAUGUCGUGAGUGUAAUUGUUUUCAUUUAUUUGCUGGCAUUCCUGUAGCGUUUUGUAAUCACGGGUGGGAUUUGCUGAUGCAUGGACUUGUUGGUAGGGGCUGAAUUUAGUUUCUGCGGUCAGAAGUCGUGCUGGACUGUGAUAUAAUCAUAACGUUACAACUCAUUACAACCUGCUUUGGCUGCAUGGUUUAGGACUCGAUAUGUGGUUUUGGAACUAGCAAACUGAAAUUAUAAAAUGUCGAGGGAUUUAAAAAACAGAUUUUAAAAAAGCCUAAAACAUUACCUAUAUCAUCGGCUCCUGUCCUUCAGACUAUAUCGUGAAGAUUCUGCGAAAAGAAAACAAGAAAACAAACAAACUCACAUGUCGUAUUUGGAAGACACACAUUGGCUGAUUACACCAAUUGUUUUAAUACUAAUAACGGACGCUUGAGCUAAAUUUACGCGUGAAGGUGUUUUAUGCUACUUGACAUCAUUUCAUGAAUUGAAAUAUUUCGGUUAUCUAGUAGUUUAAAUAUUACUUGAAAAUGGUACACGCGGUAGAUGGUUAGUCUUGUGUGUGUGUGUGUGUGUGUGUGUGUGUGUGUGUGUGUUUGUGUGUGUGUGAGAGAGAGAGAGAGAGAGAGAGAGAGAGAGAGAGAUUUUCUACAUGCGUUGCACUGGUCCUAUUGCUUCUACAACUUGAAAAGUUGAAUAAUUCUGGUUAAUUUAAUGCGAGUGUAUUUACACAGUAAACUAGUUUAAUGUUCAGUAUAAUUGUUCUUCCAGUUCUGAGAGCCUAGGGAUCUCUAAACACGCUCUGAGGACAGUUAAAGCGCGCCAUACGCAUAACCCUCACUGACAAACCCAUAGCAUAAAAUCAGAGGUAUGUUCACCAAGCAAACCUAAUGAAAUUAAAUAUCUGUGCAUUAAAUAUCUAAAGGCAAAAAAGAGAGAUUUGUUGUCCAUGCUGAAUGAACGCUGUCACUGACUUGCUUGUAUGCUGAAUUAACAUCCCAGCAAUAAGAGGUUACAUCCAAUUACAAUAAAUGAAAUCUAAAGCACUGAGUGCAUCAGCACGAACAGAAUAGAUAAAUUACAUUUUGAUGAUAUCCAGGACACAGACGUUAGUUUGGGUAUGUAUUUUCUGGAGCAUUAUAUCGAGUCAAGGCGGCGGAGGAAGACAUGUUAAUGCUGGUAUUUUGUGCCUUAUCCAAAUAUAUCCUAAUACAUGCAAAAAGUUGGCAAUUAUAAAGUUGCUUUCACUAAUAAAAAAUAUUUGCCCUCAAUCACCUAUAAGAGAAUCAUGGCUAUCAGGCUACCUAACACAGAGCCCACCUGGCGUCCCUUCACAUGAGGAUUCGGUUAAACUAAACGUUAAAUACUGGUGUGAUCUGAAUAUAUAACCAUAUAUUACAAUAUUUAAUUACCGUUGUCUGUAUAUAUAUAUAUAUAUAUAUAUAUAUAUAUAUAUAUAUAUAUAUAUAUAUAUAUAUAUAUAUAUAUAUAUAUUACACACAAUGCAUCCUUCAGUAGACUGUGCAUCUUAUUAAAAUGAGAGGCAGCUGUGUUGUGCAGCGCGUGCCCCCUGCAUCUUCCGUGAGCGCCUUAAAAGGCAAACGCGCAUUUGUUACCAUCGAAGCACGCUUUUCCCCCUCGAGUUGCUGUUUUUAAUAUGAUCCUCAUUAUGGAGAUAAACACAAUAUACUCACGGGUUUCUCGGUCAAACGGACAGCUCUGCGGUCGAGAACGCCUCGAGCUUUCCAAUGUCGUCUAGUGUUGGCUCGUGCGCUGCGCGGCUGGGGCUCCGCGUGACGUCGCAACGGCCCCAUCCAUUCAGCAUCUCUGGCUAACCCUCCGUUUCUACACCCAUAUGUCCCGUUCAGGUGUCCAUCUCCUUCGGUCCGGAGAGCGAAAUGAGCUACGUGCACGUCCCCCUUCCCUUUCUCUUCCUCUUCCGAGAAUGAACGCUGUUAUGAACCUCGUGGUGCAAGUCAAAAAACAUAUAGCAUCUCUAAGCUCCGCCCUGAUUUACACCAUGCAGUCAGUUUUAGACCACGCCCUCUCCGAGUUUGAGUUCAUUCCCAC
Molecule: long non-coding RNA, 13194 nt
Organism: Ictalurus punctatus (channel catfish)
Lineage: Eukaryota; Metazoa; Chordata; Actinopteri; Siluriformes; Ictaluridae
Source: Ensembl